GGGCCCCCUAAACUCCUCCUGUGGGGGAACCCGCGGAUGCUAUGAUUCUCCCAGCUCCCUGCACAUGUGUGGUCACACCCCAGUCACCCUCUGCAUCGCCAGGUCACAGGCGUGUACAAGGAGCCCUCCCUCUCAGCCCAGCCGGGCUCACUCGUGCUCCGUGGAGACAGCCUGAUCGCCGGAAUGUACAGGAAGCCCUCCCUCUCAGCC
Non-coding RNA from Delphinapterus leucas (beluga whale), 210 nucleotides. NCBI's taxonomy places the organism in Eukaryota, Metazoa, Chordata, Mammalia, Artiodactyla, Monodontidae. The record is from RefSeq and is a predicted model, not a curated record.